This 580-nucleotide long non-coding RNA is filed under the name Pan troglodytes (chimpanzee). RNAcentral describes it as "lincRNA". Lineage: Eukaryota; Metazoa; Chordata; Mammalia; Primates; Hominidae. The record is from RNAcentral.
ACACACACACUCUCUCUCUUUCUCAUUCUCCUUUCCCUCCUCUCCAUCUCCCUAUUGCAUUGUGUCUGACUGAUUUUCAGAGCACCUUCGCUGUUUCCCCCUUCUCGUUCCCUUCCCAUAAAAUAUCUAGACAGGAAGGAGGUGGCUGCAGAGGCUGAACAAUCUCAUAUUCUGCCUGCAAUGUCAUCGUUUCUUUCCCCCAUUUUAGGGGGCUGAAGUUGCCCAGCAAGGGAUGCAGAGGAGCUGGAAAGGAAGGGGGGAGCUCUCCAGAGGCAGCUGCGGUCAGGGGCAGGGACUGCCGCCAGAUGUGCCUGCCUUUCUGGGCUUUGAUGAGAAAGGGGCAGCAGGAGGAAAUAUUGGGAGACAAAAGCCCCGGUUUAAAUGAUCAUUUUCUUUAUUUAACAUGGCAGCAGACACUCUCUGCGUAGGAUCAUCAUGCCGAGCAUAAACUGGACUUUCCCACUUGCCUGGCAGGAGUCACACAGAUCCCUGUGUGCUAAAUGAACAUCUGAGGUUUGAGAUGGGGCCCAAGAUGCUUUUCUGACAAGUUUCCUGGUGAUGCAAUGUUGCUGUUGGGGAA